Molecule: long non-coding RNA, 632 nt
Filed under: Monodelphis domestica (gray short-tailed opossum)
Lineage: Eukaryota; Metazoa; Chordata; Mammalia; Didelphimorphia; Didelphidae
Description: lncRNA (ENSMODG00000049507.1)
Source: RNAcentral
AUGAGAUCAGGAAUCUUCCACUGCUGCUCCCAUUAUGACAAGACUGCAGGAACUGUAGGUGGCUUUUACAUCAAAUGUCAACCUAGACAUCAGUAUGAAUGAUGAAACCUCCCAGAGCUAUAACAGUGCCCAACAUUAAGAAGAUGACUUCAGGCCCAAUACCCUAUAUACUGUGCUACCUAGCUAUUCAUAAUCCAUGAUUUCAUCGAGUAUUUCAUUCCAGCUAUGGAAACUCCCUCUACCUAUGCAGAGUUACAUUCACUCCCAUUACAAGCCAGGCAAGUCAAGAACGUCAAUCACCUUUAAGCCCAGAUCUACAGGACAAACUCUGCUGAAUCUGUUUGUGGACAGAAACCAGGCAACAUUGCCAGGGAUGGAUUCAGAGAAACCUGGAAGGACCAGUAUGAACUGAUAUAGUGAAGUGAGCAGACCCAGAACCAUUAGUACAUUGAUGACAACAUUGUAAAACAAGAUGACUUCAAAAGAAUUAAGAAUCCUGAUGAUCAACCACAUCUCAAAAGCCUGAUGAUAAAUCAUGCUUUCCACUUCUUGACACAUAUUUUCAGAGGUAAUUGGUAUAUUUUUUCUUGAUUAUACUUAUUUGUUACAAGAGAGCUAGGAGGGAACAAGGG